RNAcentral lists this unclassified non-coding RNA (253 nucleotides) under uncultured Chloroflexota bacterium. Its description in RNAcentral is "uncultured Chloroflexi bacterium contains 16S-23S intergenic spacer region". It matches the Rfam family "Bacterial small subunit ribosomal RNA", at positions 524 to 776 of the family's 1533-position model. The record is from RNAcentral. Lineage: Bacteria; Bacillati; Chloroflexota.
UACGUAGGUGGCGAGCGUUGUCCGGAUUUAUUGGGCGUAAAGCGCGUGCAGGCGGUUCGUUAAGUCUGGGGUGAAAUCUCCCGGCUCAACUGGGAGAGGUUCUCAGAUACUGGCGGACUCGAGGGAGGCAGAGGAGAGUGGAAUUCUCGGUGUAGUGGUGAUAUGCGUAGAUAUCGAGAGGAACACCAGUGGCGAAGGCGGCUCUCUGGGCCUUACCUGACGCUAAGACGCGAAAGCGUGGGGAGCGAACCGG